UUACCUAGAGUUGUAGGCUUUGCCUGCUAUCUCUUACCCAUGUCUUUUGAGUACCUUACGUUUCCUCGGUGGGUUCGCCCACCGAUUGGACAAAUUUAAACCCUUUGCAGUUGAAAUCAGCGUCUGAAAAAACUUAAUAGUUACAACUUUCAACAACGGAUCUCUUGGUUCUGGCAUCGAUGAAGAACGCAGCGAAAUGCGAUAAGUAGUGUGAAUUGCAGAAUUCAGUGAAUCAUCGAAUCUUUGAACGCACAUUGCGCCCCUUGGUAUUCCAUGGGGCAUGCCUGUUCGAGCGUCAUUUGUACCUUCAAGCUCUGCUUGGUGUUGGGUGUUUGUCUCCUGUAGACUCGCCUUAAAACAAUUGGCAGCCGGCGUAUUGAUUUCGGAGCGCAGUACAUCUCGCGCUUUGCACUCAUAACGACGACAUCCAAAAGUACAUUUUUACACUCUUGACCUCGGAUCAGGUAGAGAUACCCGCUGAACUUAAGCAUAUCAAUAAGCGGAGGA
Molecule: ribosomal RNA, 507 nt
Filed under: uncultured fungus
Lineage: Eukaryota; Fungi
Description: eukaryotic LSU rRNA
Rfam family: 5.8S ribosomal RNA (bases 145-298)
Source: RNAcentral